ACCCUCUGGUUCCCUUUCCCAUCAGAUCUGAACAUUGGUUUGGGUGGUUAUAAGGGACGGAAAAGGAACACUGAAAGUGGCCUCACAGUGCUUAUGGUCUGGUAUAGAGCUCAUGGGCUAGUUUCAAACAAGG
Small nucleolar RNA from Hyaena hyaena (striped hyena), 133 nucleotides. RefSeq annotates it as small nucleolar RNA SNORA61. The transcript has a single exon. NCBI's taxonomy places the organism in Eukaryota, Metazoa, Chordata, Mammalia, Carnivora, Hyaenidae. The record is from RefSeq and is a predicted model, not a curated record.